Molecule: ribosomal RNA, 508 nt
Filed under: uncultured bacterium
Lineage: Bacteria
Description: partial 16S ribosomal RNA
Rfam family: Bacterial small subunit ribosomal RNA
Source: RNAcentral
GACGAACGCUGGCGGCGUGCCUAAUACAUGCAAGUCGAACGCUUCUUUCCUCCCGAGUGCUUGCGCUCAAUUGGAAAGAGGAGUGGCGGACGGGUGAGUAACACGCGGGUAACCUACCCAUCAGAGGGGGAUAACACUUGGAAACAGGUGCUAAUACCGCAUAACAGUUUAUGCCGCAUGGCAUAAGAGUGAAAGGCGCUUUCGGGUGUCGCUGAUGGAUGGACCCGCGGUGCAUUAGCUAGUUGGUGAGGUAACGGCUCACCAAGGCCACGAUGCAUAGCCGACCUGAGGGGGUGAUCGGCCACACUGGGACUGAGACACGGCCCAGACUCCUACGGGAGGCAGCAGUAGGGAAUCUUCGGCAAUGGACGAAAGUCUGACCGAGCAACGCCGCGUGAGUGAAGAAGGUUUUCGGAUCGUAAAACUCUGUUGUUAGAGAAGAACAAGGACGUUAGUAACUGAACGUCCCCUGACGGUAUCUAACCAGAAAGCCACGGCUAACUACGUG